CCUACGGGGGGCAGCAGUGAGGAAUAUUGGUCAAUGGGCGAGAGCCUGAACCAGCCAAGUCGCGUGAAGGAUGAAGGCCCUAUGGUUUGUAAACUUCUUUUAUAUGGGAAUAAAGUGAGGCACGUGUUCCUUUUUGUAUGUACCCUAUGAAUAAGGAUCGGCUAACUCCGUGCCAGCAGCCGCGGUAAUACGGAGGAUGCGAGCGUUAUCCGGAUUUAUUGGGUUUAAAGGGUGCGUAGGUGGGUAUUUAAGUCAGCUGUGAAAGUUUGUGGCUCAACCGUAAAAUUGCCGUUGAAACUGGUAGACUUGAGUAUAUUUGAGGUAGGCGGAAUGCGUGGUGUAGCGGUGAAAUGCAUAGAUAUCACGCAGAACUCCGAUUGCGAAGGCAGCUUACUAAACUAUAACUGACACUGAAGCACGAAAGCGUGGGGAUCAAACAGGAUUAGAUACCCGUGUAGUC
RNAcentral lists this ribosomal RNA (460 nucleotides) under uncultured bacterium. RNAcentral's name for it is "partial 16S ribosomal RNA". It matches the Rfam family "Bacterial small subunit ribosomal RNA", at positions 338 to 795 of the family's 1533-position model. The record is from RNAcentral.